UACCUACGGGAGGCAGCAGUGAGGAAUAUUGGUCAAUGGGCGGAAGCCUGAGCCAGCCAAGUCGCGUGAGGGAAUAAGGCCCUACGGGUCGUAAACCUCUUUUGCCGGGGAGCAAGGGCGGGGACGUGUCCCGGCCCGGAGAGUACCCGGAGAAAAAGCAUCGGCUAACUCCGUGCCAGCAGCCGCGGUAAUACGGAGGAUGCGAGCGUUAUCCGGAUUUACUGGGUGUAAAGGGAGCGCAGGCGGCGUGGCAAGUCAGAUGUGAAAACCCGGGGCCCAACCCCGGGAGUGCAUUUGAAACUGCC
This 305-nucleotide ribosomal RNA is filed under the name uncultured bacterium. RNAcentral describes it as "bacterial SSU rRNA". It matches the Rfam family "Bacterial small subunit ribosomal RNA", at positions 335 to 637 of the family's 1533-position model. The record is from RNAcentral.